RNAcentral lists this ribosomal RNA (442 nucleotides) under uncultured bacterium. RNAcentral's name for it is "bacterial SSU rRNA". It matches the Rfam family "Bacterial small subunit ribosomal RNA", at positions 355 to 796 of the family's 1533-position model. The record is from RNAcentral.
UGGGGAAUCUUGCGCAAUGGCCGCAAGGCUGACGCAGCGACGCCGCGUGUGGGAUGAAGCCCUUCGGGGUGUAAACCACUGUUGCCCGGGACGAACGGCGGGAUUUAUCCCGCGUGACGGUACCGGGUGAGGAAGCACCGGCUAACUCCGUGCCAGCAGCCGCGGUAAUACGGAGGGUGCGAGCGUUGUCCGGAAUCACUGGGCGUAAAGGGCGCGUAGGCGGCUCGUGCAAGCGGGCGGUGAAAGCCCGGGGCUCAACCCCGGGUCAGCCGAACGGACUGCGGAGCUGGACCAGACUAGAGGCUCGUGGAAUUCCGGGUGUAGCGGUGGAAUGCGUAGAGAUCCGGAAGAACACCGGUGGCGAAGGCGGCGAGCUGGGGUCUGUGUGACGCUGAUGCGCGACAGCGUGGGGAGCAAACAGGAUUAGAUACCCCCGUAGUCC